GGUGAUAUGGCCGAGUGGGUCUAAGGCGCCUGGUUAGUUUUCAGGUCUCGAAAGAGGCGUGGGUUCGAACCCCACUGUCACCA
This 83-nucleotide transfer RNA is filed under the name Penicillium digitatum PHI26. Its description in RNAcentral is "tRNA-Thr (AGT) (tRNA-Thr-AGT-3-1)". It matches the Rfam family "tRNA". From Rfam's summary of the family: Transfer RNA (tRNA) molecules are approximately 80 nucleotides in length. Their secondary structure includes four short double-helical elements and three loops (D, anti-codon, and T loops). RNAcentral also lists the same sequence under 1 other name. Lineage: Eukaryota; Fungi; Ascomycota; Eurotiomycetes; Eurotiales; Aspergillaceae. The record is from RNAcentral.